ACGUAGGAGGCGAGCGUUAUCCGGAUUCACUGGGCGUAAAGCGCGUGCAGGCGGUUUGGUAAGUUGGGCGUGAAAGCUCCCGGCUCAACUGGGAGAGGUCGUUCAAUACUACCAGACUUGAGAGCAGAAGAGGAAGAUGGAAUUCCCGGUGUAGUGGUGAAAUGCGUAGAUAUCGGGAGGAACACCAGUGGCGAAGGCGAUCUUCUGGUCUGUUUCUGACGCUCAGACGCGACAGCUAGGGUAGUAAACGGGAUUAGAGACCCCGGUAAUCCUAGCCGUAAACGAUGUGAACUUGGCGUUGGUGGCUUAAACACCAUCAGUGCCGAAGCAAACGCGAUAAGUUCACCGCCUGGGGACUACGGCCGCAAGGUUA
Molecule: ribosomal RNA, 373 nt
Filed under: uncultured bacterium
Lineage: Bacteria
Description: bacterial SSU rRNA
Rfam family: Bacterial small subunit ribosomal RNA
Source: RNAcentral